This 67-nucleotide small RNA is filed under the name Klebsiella pneumoniae. Its description in RNAcentral is "partial RtT sRNA". It matches the Rfam family "RtT RNA", at positions 1 to 67 of the family's 130-position model. From Rfam's summary of the family: This family represents a bacterial cis-regulatory element known as RtT RNA. The exact function of RtT is unknown although it is thought that it may be involved in changing the cellular response in relation to amino acid starvation. RNAcentral also lists the same sequence under 1 other name. Lineage: Bacteria; Pseudomonadati; Pseudomonadota; Gammaproteobacteria; Enterobacterales; Enterobacteriaceae. The record is from RNAcentral.
UAUUCUGCCCCAUGGGGAAGGAUGAGAAGCUUCGACUAAGGUUCGACUCGAGCGAAGCGAGAGAACG